This is a non-coding RNA of Triticum aestivum (bread wheat), 125 nucleotides long. The record is from Rfam. NCBI's taxonomy places the organism in Eukaryota, Viridiplantae, Streptophyta, Magnoliopsida, Poales, Poaceae.
CUAGUACUCCCUCCGUCCGAAAGUACUUGUCAGAGAAAUAGAUAAAAACAUAUGUACCUAGAACUAAAAUAGGUCUAGAUACAUUCAUUUCUCCGACAAGUAUUUCCGGACGAAGGAAGUAUGUA